AGUGAACGUUGGCGGCGUGGAUUAGGCAUGCAAGUCGAGCGAUCGUAGCAAUACGGGAGCGGCAAAACGGGGUAGGGAAUACAUCGGAACGUACCUUUUGGUUGAGAAUAGCGUUGGGAAACUGACGGUAAUACUCAAUAAAGUCGAGAGACCAAAGGUUUACUGCCGGAAGAGCGGCCGAUGCGAUAUUAGGUAGUUGGUGGGGUAAUGGCCUACCAAGCCUGAGAUGUCUAGGGGGUGUGAGAGCAUGGCCCCCACCACUGGGACUGAGAUACUGCCCAGACACCUACGGGUGGCUGCAGUCGAGGAUCUUCGUCAAUGGGCGAAAGCCUGAACGAGCGACGCCGGCGUGCGGGAUGAAGGCCCUUGGGUUGUAAACCGCUGUC
RNAcentral lists this ribosomal RNA (386 nucleotides) under uncultured bacterium. Its description in RNAcentral is "bacterial SSU rRNA". It matches the Rfam family "Bacterial small subunit ribosomal RNA", at positions 29 to 437 of the family's 1533-position model. The record is from RNAcentral.